Molecule: ribosomal RNA, 343 nt
Filed under: uncultured bacterium
Lineage: Bacteria
Description: bacterial SSU rRNA
Rfam family: Bacterial small subunit ribosomal RNA
Source: RNAcentral
AGGGUUCGAUCAUGGCUCAGGACGAACGCUGGCGGCGUGCUUAACACAUGCAAGUCGAACGGAGGCCUGACUGGAAGUUUUCGGACGGAAGGGCAGGACUUAGUGGCGGACGGGUGAGUAACGCGUGAGCAAUUUGCCCUUUGGAGGGGGAUAACAGCGGGAAACCGUUGCUAAUACCGCAUACGACAUAUCCAUCACAUGAGGGAUAUGUGAAAGGAGAAAUCCGCCGAAGGAUGAGCUCGCGUCCCAUUAGGUAGUUGGUGAGGUAACGGCUCACCAAGCCGACGAUGGGUAGCCGGACUGAGAGGUUGGCCGGCCACACUGGAACUGAGACACGGUCCAG